GCUACUCCUCAAACCUAAAACAAUGGGCUAUCAAGUAGUUAAUGUUUAUACAACUGCAUCCUCCGCUGAUAAUCUAUCCCGUCAUGAAAUGCUCAUGUGGGUAAAUGACUGCCUUCAGGCUCAUUUUACGAAAAUUGAGCAACUUCAUACUGGAGCCGGAUAUUGCUUGGUAAGGAGAGGGGCAUUAUACAAUGCGCAGAACCACUGCAACUUUUUCCUCACGAGGGACGAGGAAAAGUGGUUUCUAGGCCAUGGCCGAGGGGCCGACAAGUUUCAGCGGCCAUUUAUCUUGCUUUGUUUUCCGCCUGUUUUCUUUCGUUUUUCAUCGAUUUUUUCGUUUUUUCUUAUUAAAGCUGAUAAAUAAAUAUUUUUUGCAGAUGCUAAAACAAUUUCCAAGUAAAAAAAUCAUGUAUUCAGUGGGCAAGCAGCGGUGAAAGUGGUCAAUGCAAUAUGAUGGAUUACGGGAAUACAAAACCUAAACUUUUUCUGAAACAUGAUACAUAUGCUGCUUAGAUGCUGAAACUACCUGAUUUUCAUAACGAGACCGCUGAAAAAGUUUUGAGGUUUUCAAAAUUCAACUUUUUGUGCGAAAAUCUCGACUUUUUCACCAAAAAAGUUGAAUUUUGAAAACCUCAAAACUUUUUCAGCGGUCUCGUUAUGAAAAUCAGGUCAUUUCAGCAUUUAAGCAUCAUAUGUAUCAUGUUUCAGAAAAAGUUUAGGUUGUGGUAUUCCCGUAAUCCAUCAUAUUACAAUGCCCACUUUCACCGCUGCUUGCCGACUGAAUACAUAAUUUUUUCACUUGGAAAUUGUUUUAGCAUCUGCAAAAAAUAUUUAUUUAUCAGUUUUAAUAAGAAAAAACGGGAAAAAGCUGAGAAAAACGAAAGAAAACAGGCGGAAAACAAAGCAAGAUAAAUGGCCGCUGAAACUUGUCGGCCCCUCGUCCAUGGCCUAGAAACCACUUUUCCUCGUCCUUCGUGAGGAAAAAGUUGCAGUGAGAACGAAAAUCGCGAGAAAAAGUGGAAUAUUGAAAUUUUAGUGAAAAAGUAAAAUUUUAUGAAAAUUUUUUUUAAAAAACUUACAAUUAGAAAAUCUAAAUUUCAACAUUUAUUGAUUUCUGCUAGUUUUUUCCCCGAAUUCAUGGUAGUUGAUUUAUCUCAUUAACAGCACUUAAAGGAGGACUAACGGUUCGGACGAUUUUGAACGUAUAGGCCUAAAAUGAGCUGAUGAACGAAUUUCGUAAUAAAACUGCUCAAAAAAAAUUUCAAAAGUUUUUUAUGGCGGUUCAAAAUUUUGAAAAAAUUACACUGGUUUUGGCUAAAAUCACGAAUUUUUCCCAUUUUUUCGUGUCACAUCUGUUCGAAGUUGGAUUUUUUGGAAUUAUCGUCCUUUAUUACAUGUAGUGGUAGUUUAUCUCAUUUAAUUUCGUCGAUUAAAGUACAUUUAAAGUAGAAAUUGGUUACCUAUCGGCUUUAAAUGUACUUUCGACAAAUAUCGACGAAAUUAAAUGAGAUAAACUACCACUACAUGUAAUAAAGGACGAUAAUUCCAAAAAAUCCAACUUCGAACAGAUGUGACACGGAAAGAUGGGGAAAAAUUCGUGAUUUUAGCCAAACUCAGUUUAAUUUUUUCAAAAUUUUGAACCACCAUAAAAAAUUUUUUGAAAUUGUUUUGAGCAGUUUCAUUACGAAAUUCGUUCAUUUCAGCUCAUUUUAGGCCUAUACGUUCAAAAUCGUCCGAACCGUUAGUCCUCCUGUAAUAAAUAACGUUAACAUAUAAUUUUUCUGUUAUAGUUAAUUUAAUUACUAUUAUUAUUAUUAUAAUAACGCCUAAAUUGUGCAGAAUUCUCCAUUUUUUUCAUUUUCGGGUACCACCACACGAUUCAUUUUGAAGCUGCCAGUUGAAGCUGAAAGGGAUGAAAACAAUACAAUUUUCGUGAUUUUAGAAUGUGUUUGAAAAAAUGAAAAAAAUCUAUGUUACAAAAAAAUUCCAAAAAAAUCGAAAGUUCAACGAAUUUUAAUCGAAUUUCGUGAAAAUUGGACCCAAAAUUGCAAAUUUCUAGGUAAACCUCAAAAUUUUGUCAUUUUUUACUUCAAAAAUCGGAAAUAAAAUGAAUAUUUGUGUUGCAGUUCACCGAUUUCCUAUUCCCUGAUAGUAUUCAAUUGAAGAAAGUGAAAUGGAAUAGUCGUCUUGAAUUGGAUUGGCUUUCCAACUGGAAACUAGUGCAGACUACGUGGAAGAAUUUGGGUGUCGAGAAAGUGAUUCCUGUUGAUAAAUUGAUUAAGGGAAAAUUUCAGGUAUACACAAUACAAACUACAAAGUAUCUAGCUUAACUUUAAAUGUGAUCGGAUGUGAAAUUAAUGAAUUUCAUGAUGAAACUGUUUGAAAAUGAAAAUUUCUAAAAAAAAAAUAUUAUGCCGACUCAAAAAAUGGCCUAAAAUUAGUUAAAAUUUGAAAUUCGACCGACUUGUCAAUCGGCUGGAACCUAAUUUUUUUGAAAUCACCGUGUAAUUUUGGGCAUAAAAGUUUAUUAUCUUGAGUUUUUAACUCGAUUUAGGUACAUUUUGUUUCGGAGCUACUUCCGGCCCUUGUGAGGAUUAUUAGGAUCUUUACACUGUGUAUUUACUCAUAAUUUAUUGCGUUAAUAAAAGCUAUCAUUAAAAGUAGAAUCAAUCAAUUAUCACGUCUCCCGAUAGUCGGAGCGAAGCGAGUGAGUGGAGGAGCGCCAUCCAAUUUAGGCCAAUGCAAAUCCUCGUGGGUUACUGUCACAGUUGUCGUCACGUGUGUCGUCGCGAGACCACCAUUGCUGCUCCUUUAAUCGUACACAUUUGGCGGCAGUUUGAAUUAGGGUUUUCCUUGUUGCUCGAAUAGCUCAUUGACUGGUGUAGUUGUACUUGGCAUUGCUCAGAAGAUUGAAUGGGAAGUUGAUAGCAGUUAUAAUACGUAACAAUUUGAAGUAUUAUUCUUAAUAAAUCUUUGUAUUUAUUACAGUCGUGAACAGUGGAAUUUCUUUAUUCCCUGUCUUCGCGACACAUUUAAGGUGGAAGAGGAAUGUUCCUAACAAGAAAAGGUUUUUAGUUUACCGUCAGACUUCAAAACGAGACAUGUGCCAUUUGAAAGUGUUCUAUAAGGAUAUGUCACUGCAAAAUUUUAAGCGGCAAAGCUCCGCUCUCAAUCUCUCUCUAGCAUUGAUCUGAAAACGUUUCAGUGCAUUUUUUCACUACUUUGGAGGCCUGUAGAAUUGCUCAAAAUUUUUUUUUUGCAAACGAUCAAUGUUUUUCAGAAAGUUUAAAAGUAGGAAAACAAUUUGGUAGAUUUUUGGAAAAUUUUUAAUUUUUUUCGAAAAAAAUCUGAAAAUUCUUGAUAUUUUUCAAAAAAAUUUAAAACUUUCAAAAAAUCUACCAAAUUGUUUUCCUACUUUUAAACUUUCUGAAAAACAUUUAAAGUUUGCAAAAAAAAAUUUUGGAGCAAUUCUACAUGCCUCCAAAGUAGUGAAAAAAUGCACUGAAACGUUUUCAGAUCAAUGCUAGAGAGAUUGAGAGCGGAGCUUUGCCGCUUAAAAAUUUGCAGUGACAUAUCCUUAUAGAACACUUUCAAAUGGCACAUGUCUCGUUUUGAAGUCUGACGGUAAACUAAAAACCUUUUCUUGUUAGGAACAUUCCUCUUCCACCGUUAAUGUACCUAAAUUGAGUUGAAAACUCAAGAUAAUAAACUGGUAUGCCCAAAAUUACACGGUGAUUUCAAAAAAAAAAAGUUUCCAGCCGCUUGGCAAGUCGGUCAAAUUUUAAAUUUUAGCUAAUUUUAGGCCAUUUUUUGAGCCGUCAUAACUUUUUUUUCGUAAAGUUUUCAAAAAGUUUCAUUAUGAAAUUCGGCGUUUUCAGACAAUUUUGAGUCUAAUAAAGCACCUUUAAUCUUCUAUCAAUUUAAAAAAUUCAAUUUUUGCAGGACAACUUUGAAUUCUUGCAAUGGUUCAAGAAAUUGUUCGAUGCUAACUAUGAUGGACAUGAGUAUGAUCCAAUGCAAGCACGUAAUGGAGAAGGUCUUCCGACUGAAGGGGGUCCAGCUGCUGGAGCUUCAGCGAAGACUCCGUCGAGAAUGCCGGCUAGAAGUGUUCCGCAGUACGGUUUUUUUUGGAAAUCUCGUUAUUCAAUUUUUCUAUAUACCAGGGGUGAUGAACAGCAAACGAUUAUUUAUUCCGGCAAAUUUUCAGAAUUGCCGGAAUUUAAAUUUCCGAUAAAUCGGCGAAUUGCCGGUUUGCCGAAUGUUUGCCCAAUUCGCCGAAAACUUUCAAUUCCGGCAAAUUUCAGAUUUUCCGAUUUGCCGGAAUUUUUCUAUUCCGGCAAGUUGCCGAUUUUCCGCUUUGCCGGAACUUUCCAAUUCCGGCAAAUUGCCGAUUUUUCGAUAUGCCGGAAAUUUUCAAUUCCGGCAAAUUGCCGAUUUGCCGGAAUGUUUCUAUUCCGGCAAGUUGCCGAUUUUCGGAAAAUUUUCAUUUUUGGCGAUUUGCUGGAAAUUUUCAAUUCUGGCAAAUUGCCGGUUUGCCGAAUUUGCACGAAAUUUUCAUUUUCGGCAAAUUGUAGGCUUGCCUAAUUUUCCGGAAAAAUUUAAAUUUCGGCAAAAAGCCGAUUUGCCGGAAUAUAUGAAUUUCGGCGAACUGCUGAUUUGACGAAAAUUAUCAAUUUUGGCAAUUUGCCGGAAAUUUUCAUUUUUGGCAAAUUUCAGGUUUUCCGAUUUGCCGGACAGUUUCAAAUUCGGCAAAUUGCGGAUCUACCUGAAAUACUCCAUUCAGGUUUGCCUAAUUUGCCGGAAAAAAAAUUAAGUUCCGGUUUGCCGUUUUGCCGGAAAUAUUCAGUUCCCGCAAGUUGCUGAUUUGGUGGAAAUUGUCGUCUUCGGCAAAUUUCCGGUUUCCCCAUUUGCCGGAAAUGUUAAUUUUUGCCAAAUUGCCGAUUUGCCGGAAUAUAUAAAUUCCGGCGAAUUGCUGAUUUGAUGGGAAUUAUCAAUUUUGGCAAUUUGCCGGAAAUGUUCAUUUUUGGAAAAUUGCCCAUUUACCGGAAAUUUUCAUUUUUGGAAAAUUUCAGGUUUGCCCAAUUGCGGGAAAUUAUCGAUUCCGGCAAAUUGCAUGUUUGCCCAAUUUGCCGAAAACUUUCAAUUCCGGCAAAUUGCCGAUUUUUCGAUUCCGGCACAUUUCAGAUUUUCCAAUAUGCCGGAUAUUUGCAAUUCCGGCAAUAUGCCGAUUUUCCGCUUUGCCGGAACUUUCCAAUACCGGCAAAUUGCCGAUUUUCCGAUAUGCCGGAAAUUUUCAAUUCCGGCAAAUUGCCGAUUUGCCGGAAUUUUUCUAUUCCGGCAAGUUGCCGAUUUUCGGAAAAUUUUCAUUUUUGGCGAUUUGCCGGAAAUUUUCAAUUCCGGCCAGUUGCCGAUUUGCCAGAAAUUAUAAAUUCCGGCCAGUUGCCGAUUUGCCAGAAAUUAUGAAUUCCGGCAAAUUUCCAUUUUGCCGGAAAUUUUCAAUUCCGGCAAAUGCAGGUUUGCCUAAUUUGCCGGAAAUUUUCAAUUCCGGCCAGUUGCCGAUUUGCCAGAAAUUAUGAAUUCCGGCAAAUUUCCAUUUUGCCGGAAAUUUUCUAUUCCGGCAAAUUUCCAUUUUGCCGGAAAUUUUCAAUUCCGGCAAAUGCAGGUUUGCCUAAUUUGCCGGAAAAUGUUCCAUUCCGGCAAUCUGCCGAUUUUUGGCGAUUUGCCGGAAAUUUUCUGCAAAUCGCAUGAUGAUUGCCUAAUUUGCCGGAAUAAUUCAAUUCCGGCAAAAUGCCAAAUGCUUGCCACCCACCUCUCUGUUUCAUACUAGUUUAUUUCGAAAAAAAAAUUUUUUUCUGAAAUAAAAAAAAAUACACUAAAUUUUUUGAAAAUUGAAAUUUUUAAUUAAAAAAAACUUUUUUUUUUUCAGAAAACCAGUGACCACAAUGAGAACUCCAGCCGCCACCCCGGCUGCUCCACCAACCCGUCCAACUCCAUCCCGUUCUUCAGCUGCUCCGAGAGCAACAGCUCCAACUCCAACAGCAGCACCUCCAAAAACUUGUGCACCGCCCGUUCGUUCUGCAUCAACCGUAGCAGCGGCUGCUGCUGCUGCACCACCGGGAGUCGAUAUGGCGACAUUUAAUAAAUUAAAAGAAGAACUGGAAGAAGUUACACGUCAGCUGACAGAAUCUGACAAUGUUAUUGCAAGUCUGGAAAAAGAAAGAGACUUUUAUUUUAGUAAACUUCGAACGAUUGAAGUUAUUUGUCAGGAUAAUGAAUCGAUUGGAAAUGUUGAAGUUAAUCGAGUUUUGGAGGUAAAAAUUGAUGAAAAUUGGGAAAAACUACCGAAAGUAGCCUGAAAUUUGGAUCAGGGAUGUGCGGCAAAUUUGCCGAAUUUGCCGAAUUUGCCGAAUUUGCCGAGCUCGGCAAAUUUCAAAAAAGUAGAUUUGCCGAAUUUGCCGCACACGUCAAAAAUUUUACAGUACAAUUUUGACUAAAACUAUUGAUUUUUUAGCCAAAAAUUUAGUAAAAUGACACAAAAUUGACUUAGUUUUAUGCUUAAACAGACAUACUACGCGGAACUUAUUCAGAAACCAGAUGUGUGUUAAGAAUUCAGUAGAUUUGGUGCUCCAAAAAACAUAAAAAAUAUCAAAUUUUUUCGAGUUUUGCACGGCAAAUUUGCCGAAUUUGCCGUUUGCCGAGCUCGGCAAAUUUUGAGAUUUGCCGCACACCCCUGAUUUGGAUUUAGAAUGUUUAGAAAAGAGCAAUUUUAGAGAUAAAAUUCAAGAAAUUUAAAAAAUUCCGAAAUUUUUGAUAAUUGCUAAUUUCCAACUAUAUCAAAGUCAAAAAAGUGAGACUUUUUUGAAAAUUUUGAUUUUUUUUAAUUUAGAAAAUUCUCGAAAAUUUGAAAAAAAAUUCAAAUUAUUCGGAAAAUUGCGUAUAUUUGUGUGAAAAAUAAAAAAAAAUAAUUUAAAAAUUCCGAAAAUUUGAAGAAAGUAUGUUUAAAACAUUUUUUUAAUUGAAAAAUUCCGGAAAUUUCAAAAAAAAAAUUUUGUUUGAAAACAUAUGAAAAACUAUUUAAAGUAUCAAUUUUUAGAUAAAAUUCAAGAAAUUUCAAAAAUUCCGAAAAUUCCAAAAUUUUUGAUAAUUGCUCAUUUCCAACAAUAUCAAAAAUGAAAAAAAGUGAAAAUUUUGUUGAAAAUUUAAAUUUUUUUUUUUAAUUUAGAAAAUUCUCGGAAAAUUGCGUAUAUUUGUGUGAAAAAUUCCUAAAGUGAGAUUUUUCGGAAAUUUUCAUUUUUGGCGAUUUGCCUAAUAUGCCGGAAAUUAUCAAUUCCGGCAAAUUGCCGUUUUUCCGAUUUGCCGGAAAAAUUUGAAACAUUUGGGAAAAAAAUUGUUUUUGAAAUUUUUAAAAAUAAUUAUCUAUGUAAAUUAAAAAAAAUAUAUAUAUAUGUAUAUAACUUUUUUAUUUAAAAAUUCCGAAAAUUCGAAAAAAAAACAUAUGUUUGGAAAUUUCAACUUUUUUAUUUACAAAAAAAUUUAAACUUCAAAAAAAAUCUGCUUUGAAAAUUUAUGAAAAAAUAUUUAAAGUAGCAUAUAUAUUUGCAAAACAUUGAAAAUUUGGCUGAAAAAACUGAAAAUUUAAUCAAUUUUGAAAAUAAAAAAAUGUAAAUUUUGAAAAUAAAAAAAACUUUCAAAAUUUUUGAUAAUUGCUAAUUUCCAACUAUAUCAAAAGUAAAAAAGUGAGACUUUUUUUGAAAAUUUAAAUUUUUUAAAUUUAGAAAAUUCUCGGAAAUUUGAAAAAAAAGAACAAUUAUUCGUAAAAUUGCAAAUAUUUGUGUGGAAAAUGUGUGGAAAUUAAAAAAAAAUUUCAUCUAAAAAUUCCCAAAAUUUGAAGAAAGUAUGUUUGAAACAUUUCAUUAAUUUUUUUUAUAAUUAAAUUCCGGAAAUUUCAAAAAAAAAAAUUUUGUUUGAAAACAUAUGAAAAACUAUUUAAAGUAUCAUCAAUUUUUAGAUAAAAUUCAAGAAAUUUCAAAAAUUCCAAAAUUUUUGAUAAUUGCUAAUUUCCAACUAUAUCAAAGUCAAAAAAGUGAAAAUUUUGUUGAAAAUUUUGAAUUUUUUUUAAAUUCAGAAACUUUAUAAGAAAAACAACCAAAGGUAACUUUUUAGUAUAUUUUUUCAUUGGAAAUUUUGAAGAAAAUUUUUUAAAAAUAAAACUUCUCGAAAAUUUGAAAAAAAAAUAAAAUUCGAAAGUUACGUAUAUUUGUGUGAAAAAAACGUUUUUUAUUUCAAUUUAAAAAAUUCCUAAAAUUUUGAAAAAAUAUCAACCGAAAAAAAACAUUUUUUUUAAAUGAAAAUUCUCGGAAAGUAGCGAAAAAUUCCGAAAGUGAUGCAUAUUCACAAAAAAAAUUAUUUUUUAUUUAAUAAAAAAACGUAAUUUUGAAACAUUUUUUUGUUUAAAAAUGUUUUUUUUUAUUUACAAAAAAAAUUAAAAUUCCGGAAAAGUCUGAAAUUGAAUAUUAAAAAAAAAAAGAAAACAGCAAUUUAUCCCUUAAUUUUGAAAAAUAUUCAAUUUCGACAUUUUACUUUUUUUAAAAUUAGAUUUAAAAUUUCUGAAAAUUUGCAGAAAAAACUGAAAAAAUAACUACCCCGAAAAAAAAGUUCUUAAAAACAUAUUUCCAGGUUCUCUACGAGACGGAAGAAGGAUUCGCACCACCAGAAGACGAGGCAAAUGGCGGAGCAGAAGCCGAAGAAUUCUAAACUAUUUAAUAUUUUCUCUAUUGUUUAAUUCCAGCUUUCAAGCCAAGCUUCUACCCAAACACUUCAAUUUUACUCCCAAAAAAAUAUGCGAUUUUACAAUGUUAUAUUUCACCGAAAACCCCCUCUGCUUAUAAUUAUAGUUAACUUAUUAAUUUUCAUGAACUUAUUCAAUAACUGCACCAAAUUGGCCGCCGCUUCUUCUUUUCCACUUGAAAUUUUCAGUUUUUCUUUUUUCAUUCUUCCAUCCCAACACCUAUGACAUUGUCAGUAUUUUAAUUGAUUGGCUUUCAAUUUUUUUUCGAUUUUAAAAAUCAUUUCCUUUUUUUCACCGAACAUUUAACGCUUUUUUCUAAUUGUUACGUCGUGCUUUUCUUUGUGCUAAAAUAAAUUAUGAUAUUUAAAAAAGAAUUUUGCUUCCUUCAAACAAAAAUUUCAAAAAAUGAUGGGUCUGCUAAAUACAUUUUGUAGUUUGUAGUCUGGCAUACCCACUUAGUAAAAUCAUCAGUUUUUGCUGUAAUUUUGAACAGUUUUCCCUUAAAUUUUGCAUUUUCUCGGGAUUUGAAUGUGACAAUUCAUGAAAAUUUACUCAAAAAAUCGAUUUUUCGCAUAGAAAAUAUUGGAAUUUUGGGAUUUAAAUUUGUAGUCGUUGAUCAUAUUUUCAAAAUGCUCCAAACAGACAAAUUUUAAGUUUAGAGCAAAAAUUGAUUGACAAAACGAUGAAAAUAUGCCCAACGACUCCAAAUUCCAAUUUUUAAAGUCUUUAUCUACACUCAUUUUUUCUAUUUUCUUUUCUGAGCACACCAUAACUGGUUAGAUGCUUGGGUCUGCUAAAUAUUUUUGUGUAGUUUGUAGUCUGGCAAACCCACUCGGUGAAAAUGGCCAAUUUUGCUGUAAUUUUAAGAGGUUAUCCUGAUUUUUGGCGGGAAAAAUCUCAAAAUGUGCAUUUUCUCGGAGCAUGUAAUUGAAAAUUUACUCAAAAAAAUCGAUUUUUCGCUUAGAAAAUAUUUGAAUUCGGCAAAAUUAUGCAUAAAAUCACAAUUUAACCCGUCUGAAAACCCGAAAAUCCACAUUUUUCAUCGAUUUUCUGUUAAAAAUCUGCUUAUUUUCACCUGAAAACACAAAAUUUAGUCGAAAAAAUGAUGGGUCGGCUAAAUAAUUUUGUGUAGUUUGUAGUCUAGCAGACCGGAAACGAUUAUUUUUCGAUUUUUCUUUUUUUUUUAACCCAAAAGUUUGGGUCUGCUAAACAUUGUUGUGUAGUUUGUAGUGUGGCAGGCCCAAUUGCUUCAACAUUGGACUGUGUCACUGGAAUUUGAGAUUUAGAAAUAAUUUAUUGCGCGUAGUAAAACUAAUCAAGUGAACAUUUUGAACGGGUGAAAAAGCGAAUAAAUAAAAAAUAAAUAAAUAUUUAAAAAAUGCGUGGGCGGUGGAAUGUACAAAUUAUCGAUUGAUGAUUCUCAACAUAAUCCUUCAUCAUCGUCAUCUUCUUGUCCGUCACCGAGUCCCGCAUUUCCAGACGGUGCUUUUAGAAUUUUCAUCACUCGGAGAUACUGAAAAAUUGAACGGUUUUUAGGAUGAUAAUUCGAUAAAAUGAGCCAAACCUCAUUGUCCAUAGACCGUAGGGCUCCACAUUUCAGUACAUUCUGGAAACUUUCAUCAUCGCCAGCCUCAUAGAAUCCGAUAAGAUUCUCACAUACACGUCCAUCUUCUGAUGUUUGAAAAUCCGGAGAUUGACUGCAAAAAAUUGAAUUUUCGAUGGAAUUGUUUAAAUUUUGAUUAGAAAAAAAAAAUCGAUUUUUCAAAAACUUACAUUUUUUUUAGAGCUACGAAAUUGUUUUUUUUGUUCUGAUUUUUUCGAAAAAAAAAUGGUCUGCUAAACUACAAUCUACAAACCAUUUAGGUCUGCUAAUUAUUUUCUGUAGUUUGUAGUCUGGCAGACCCACAAAUGGGUCUGCCAGAGUACAAAAACUGCAAAAAUACAGUUUUUAGAAUUUUCCGUUUUUCUAACAAAAGUGCAAAUUUACGAAAAAUCAGCAUUUUUGCAAUAAAAAACUGGACAAUUCGGCAAAAACCGGUUUAAAAAAAAUAUUUCCGUGUAGUUUGUAGUUUGGGUCUGCCAGACUACAAACUACAGAAAAUAAUUAGCAGACCUAAAUGGUUUGUAGUUUGUUGUCUGGCAGACCCAAACUACAAACUACACGGAAAUAUUUUUUUUAAACCGGUUUUUGCCGAAUUGUCCAGUUUUUUAUUGCAAAAAUGCUGAUUUUUCGUAAAUUUGCACUUUUGUUAGAAAAACGGAAAAUUCCAAAGACCCAUUUGUGGGUCUGCCAGACUACAAACUACAAACCACUUGGGUCUGCUGAUUAUAUUUUGUAGUUUGUAGUCUGGCAGACCCAAAUCAGUUUGGGUCUGCCAGACUACAAACUACACAACAGCUUCGAAAAAUCGAGUUUCGUCGUAUUUUUCGACUUCUUCCGCAUAAAUUUCAAUUUUUAAUAAAAUUUUUCGCGUGUCUUCGUACCAAAUAACCCAUCCAUAAUCUUUGAGAGCCGCCACUGAAUCUUCCAGAGCCAAAUUCACUAUAACAAGACCGAUUCCGAGUUGGCCAAUACGUGGAUAUUCCUGAAAAUCGGAAAAAUUUAAAAAAAAUCUUUGUCAAAAUUUAGAAAAUUCAAAAUUCUUGUAGUUUGUAGUCUAGCAGACCAAUUUUUUAAAUAAAGUUGAAAAAUUCAAAUUUUCGUAAAAAUACACGGAAAAAUCAGAAAUUGAUUGUUUUUUUUGUAGUUUGUAGUCUAAAAAAUAGCACGUCCCACUAUAAACUACAAAAGUUCAAUUUUUAAAAAAGUGAAAAACAAAAAAAAAUCAAAAAUUUGCAAUUUUUCAGAACAUCCAAAAAAAUUAAAAAAUUUUGUUUUUUUUUUCGUUUUUUCUAUAGAAUUUUCGUGUAGUUUGUAGUCUAUCAGUACCCGAAUUUCGGCGAAUUUCUCAAUUUCCUCCCGAAUCGAUCCGAGUGCUCCUUUAUAAUCAGUCAAUUGUAGUGAUAAUUUUGUGAUUUGUUUCAAGAAAUUGCUCGCCAUUUUUGCACGAUCCGAUUGUUGGACCAAAGCCAAUCCACGUUGGUAAAUCUGCAAAAAAAAUUGAUUUUUUAUCAAUCGGCUGUGCAUUUUCUCAGGAAAUUUUGUGGAAAAACCACGGAAAAUCGAUUUUUUACCCAGAAAACUUGAAAAACACCAUUUUCAGAGCUUUUAUAGCCAAAAAAUGCCGAGAAUCCGAAUAUUUCCAGUUAAAAACGCAAAAAAAAAAUCAAAAUUUAGUCGAAAAAUAUGGGUCUGCUAAAUACAUUUUGUAGUUUGUAGUCUGGCAGACCCAUUUGGUAAAAAUCGUCAAUUUUGCUCUAAUUUUGAGCAAUUUUCCAGAUUUUUUGGCUGGAUCACUCUCAAUUAUGCAUUUUCUCGAAAAUUUGCAGAAAAAAAUCAAUUUUCACAUAGAAAAUAUGCAUAAAAUCACAUUUUUCGCCAAAAAAACCGUCUAAAAACCCAAAAAAAUACACAUUUUCUGUGAGAAACGGAGUUUUGCCCUAAAAAUCUGCUCAUUUUCGUUUGAAAACUCAAAAUUUUGUCUAACUAUGAUGGACAUGAGUAUGAUCCAAUGCAAGCACGUAAUGGAGAAGGUCUUCCGACUGAAGGGGGUCCAGCUGCUGGAGCUUCAGCGAAGACUCCGUCGAGAAUGCCGGCUAGAAGUGUUCCGCAGUACGGUUUUUUUUGGAAAUCUCGUUAUUCAAUUUUUCUAUAUACCAGGGGUGAUGAACAGCAAACGAUUAUUUAUUCCGGCAAAUUUUCAGAAUUGCCGGAAUUUAAAUUUCCGAUAAAUCGGCGAAUUGCCGGUUUGCCGAAUGUUUGCCCAAUCCGCCGAAAACUUUCAAUUCCGGCAAAUUUCAGAUUUUCCGAUUUGCCGGAAUUUUUCUAUUCCGGCAAGUUGCCGAUUUUCCGCUUUGCCGGAACUUUCCAAUUCCGGCAAAUUGCCGAUUUUUCGAUAUGCCGGAAAUUUUCAAUUCCGGCAAAUUGCCGAUUUGCCGGAAUGUUUCUAUUCCGGCAAGUUGCCGAUUUUCGGAAAAUUUUCAUUUUUGGCGAUUUGCUGGAAAUUUUCAAUUCUGGCAAAUUGCCGGUUUGCCGAAUUUGCACGAAAUUUUCAUUUUCGGCAAAUUGUAGGCUUGCCUAAUUUUCCGGAAAAAUUUAAAUUUCGGCAAAAAGCCGAUUUGCCGGAAUAUAUGAAUUUCGGCGAACUGCUGAUUUGACGAAAAUUAUCAAUUUUGGCAAUUUGCCGGAAAUUUUCAUUUUUGGCAAAUUUCAGGUUUUCCGAUUUGCCGGACAGUUUCAAAUUCGGCAAAUUGCGGAUCUACCUGAAAUACUCCAUUCAGGUUUGCCUAAUUUGCCGGAAAAAAAAUUAAGUUCCGGUUUGCCGUUUUGCCGGAAAUAUUCAGUUCCCGCAAGUUGCUGAUUUGGUGGAAAUUGUCGUCUUCGGCAAAUUUCCGGUUUCCCCAUUUGCCGGAAAUGUUAAUUUUUGCCAAAUUGCCGAUUUGCCGGAAUAUAUAAAUUCCGGCGAAUUGCUGAUUUGAUGGGAAUUAUCAAUUUUGGCAAUUUGCCGGAAAUGUUCAUUUUUGGAAAAUUGCCCAUUUACCGGAAAUUUUCAUUUUUGGAAAAUUUCAGGUUUGCCCAAUUGCGGGAAAUUAUCGAUUCCGGCAAAUUGCAUGUUUGCCCAAUUUGCCGAAAACUUUCAAUUCCGGCAAAUUGCCGAUUUUUCGAUUCCGGCACAUUUCAGAUUUUCCAAUAUGCCGGAUAUUUGCAAUUCCGGCAAUAUGCCGAUUUUCCGCUUUGCCGGAACUUUCCAAUACCGGCAAAUUGCCGAUUUUCCGAUAUGCCGGAAAUUUUCAAUUCCGGCAAAUUGCCGAUUUGCCGGAAUUUUUCUAUUCCGGCAAGUUGCCGAUUUUCGGAAAAUUUUCAUUUUUGGCGAUUUGCCGGAAAUUUUCAAUUCCGGCCAGUUGCCGAUUUGCCAGAAAUUAUAAAUUCCGGCCAGUUGCCGAUUUGCCAGAAAUUAUGAAUUCCGGCAAAUUUCCAUUUUGCCGGAAAUUUUCAAUUCCGGCAAAUGCAGGUUUGCCUAAUUUGCCGGAAAUUUUCAAUUCCGGCCAGUUGCCGAUUUGCCAGAAAUUAUGAAUUCCGGCAAAUUUCCAUUUUGCCGGAAAUUUUCUAUUCCGGCAAAUUUCCAUUUUGCCGGAAAUUUUCAAUUCCGGCAAAUGCAGGUUUGCCUAAUUUGCCGGAAAAUGUUCCAUUCCGGCAAUCUGCCGAUUUUUGGCGAUUUGCCGGAAAUUUUCUGCAAAUCGCAUGAUGAUUGCCUAAUUUGCCGGAAUAAUUCAAUUCCGGCAAAAUGCCAAAUGCUUGCCACCCACCUCUCUGUUUCAUACUAGUUUAUUUCGAAAAAAAAAUUUUUUUCUGAAAUAAAAAAAAAUACACUAAAUUUUUUGAAAAUUGAAAUUUUUAAUUAAAAAAAACUUUUUUUUUUUCAGAAAACCAGUGACCACAAUGAGAACUCCAGCCGCCACCCCGGCUGCUCCACCAACCCGUCCAACUCCAUCCCGUUCUUCAGCUGCUCCGAGAGCAACAGCUCCAACUCCAACAGCAGCACCUCCAAAAACUUGUGCACCGCCCGUUCGUUCUGCAUCAACCGUAGCAGCGGCUGCUGCUGCUGCACCACCGGGAGUCGAUAUGGCGACAUUUAAUAAAUUAAAAGAAGAACUGGAAGAAGUUACACGUCAGCUGACAGAAUCUGACAAUGUUAUUGCAAGUCUGGAAAAAGAAAGAGACUUUUAUUUUAGUAAACUUCGAACGAUUGAAGUUAUUUGUCAGGAUAAUGAAUCGAUUGGAAAUGUUGAAGUUAAUCGAGUUUUGGAG
This 14696-nucleotide small RNA is filed under the name Caenorhabditis elegans. Its description in RNAcentral is "Unclassified non-coding RNA Y59A8B.45". The record is from RNAcentral. Lineage: Eukaryota; Metazoa; Nematoda; Chromadorea; Rhabditida; Rhabditidae.